Molecule: ribosomal RNA, 377 nt
Filed under: uncultured eukaryote
Lineage: Eukaryota
Description: partial 18S ribosomal RNA
Rfam family: Eukaryotic small subunit ribosomal RNA
Source: RNAcentral
CAAUAGCGUAUAUUAAAGUUGUUGCAGUUAAAAAGCUCGUAGUUGGAUUUCGGGGUGGCCUGGCUGGUCCGCCGCAAGGUGAGUACUGGUCAGCCGCCCUUCCUCUCGAAAGCCCCGACUGCUCUUUACUGCAGUGGUCGGGUAGUUCGGGACGUUUACUUUGAAAAAAUUAGAGUGUUCAAGGCAGGCUAUCGCCUGAAUACAUUAGCAUGGAAUAAUGGAAGAGGACCUCGGUCCUAUUUUGUUGGUUUCUAGGGCCGAAGUAAUGAUUAAGAGGGACAGUUGGGGGCAUUCGUAUUUAAUUGUCAGAGGUGGAAUUCUUGGAUUUAUGAAAGACGAACUAGUGCGAAAGCAUUUGCCAAGGAUGUUUUCAUUAA